Magnolia sinica is the source of this 1127-nucleotide long non-coding RNA. RefSeq lists it as uncharacterized. The transcript has 5 exons. Lineage: Eukaryota; Viridiplantae; Streptophyta; Magnoliopsida; Magnoliales; Magnoliaceae. The record is from RefSeq and is a predicted model, not a curated record.
AUUACCUGCUUGCCUUUUUUUUUUUUUUUCUUUCUUUCUUUUAAUUGUAAUUCUCUGACCCUUUUGGAUUAACAAGGGAUGUCCCCGUAUUCAAGCAAGGCUACAUUCCCAUAUUUAAUGGGCAAUUAGUGGAUUCGACAUCAGACACGGACAAAUGAGGUCCAGCCAGAGCUUCUACAAGGGACCUUCAAGUGCUUGGAAUGCAGUUUUGUCAUCAGGAACGUCGAACAACAGGCAAACCAAUCUCAGUUUUGGAUGGAGUUUCAAUUGCUGUCAUGGAUGGGAUAGAUUGCAUGCCCUAUCCAACAAAGGUAUCAGAGUUUCAAUUGCUGUCAAGGAUGAGAUAGAUUGCAUGCCCUAUCCAACAAAGGUAUCGGACGGAUUCCUUCCCUUUUCUAGAGUUUGAUUGGAUGGUGCGGAGUUCUACGGGAGCAAUGGUGGAGACGUAAGAGGUGCAACUGCAGCAUUCCCUAAGUUGGAGACACCCAUUUACUUGUGCUAAUCUAAAUGUGCCUUCUCAAAAUAUGACAUCUCUAUGCUUUAAAAUAGACAACAGAAAGAUGUUGUGAAUGAUGGCAAUCAAUACUUCUCCAGUAUCCUUCCAUGAACAUUGAAAAGUCAUCACAUGCUUGUAUUUAUGAAUACUUUUUUUGUUUUACCUCUGUAAUGUCCUUGAAUGAUUAAAGAUGCAUGGGUUAGUCAAGAUGAUUUGAGACGCAAACUCAUGCACAAAAACUUACCUAGGAGAACCCGGAGUGAUGGUGAAGAACGUGAUUGUGUAGACCUUCGUGAAAAGCUCUCACAGAUGGUUCAUGCUCCGUCAAGAAUUGAUGCAACAACGCAUGCCUGAACCUCAUAAGAGACAAUACUUGGAUAACUGUGAAGAUCCCUGUUUCUGUGCAACAGAGCUAGAUCUCAUAUUUCAUGUACUCUUUAAAAAGUAAGAAAAAUAGCUCCAAUACAUAAAUUGCACUAGUGGCCAAAUCUUAUCGAAUCAUAAGUUGUAAGAUUCAAUUUGAUUAUUUGUAAAAAGCCAAUUAAUUUUAAAGAUCAUAAACUCAACAUGGAAUACUAUGAAGUAUUAACAUUUCCAUACUGCUCGUAUGCAUGUCUGGUAUAAAUGCUAU